UACGAAGGGAGCUAGCGUUGUUCGGAAUUACUGGGCGUAAAGGGCGCGUAGGCGGUUUUAUAAGUCAGAUGUGAAAGCCCCGGGCUCAACCUGGGAAUUGCAUUUGAGACUGAAUAGCUAGGGUGCGGUAGAGGGAAGCGGAAUUUCCGGUGUAGCGGUGAAAUGCGUAGAUAUCGGAAGGAACAUCAGUGGCGAAAGCGGCUUCCUGGACCAGCACCGACGUUCAGGCACGAAAGCGUGGGGAGCAAACAGG
This 253-nucleotide ribosomal RNA is filed under the name uncultured bacterium. Its description in RNAcentral is "partial 16S ribosomal RNA". It matches the Rfam family "Bacterial small subunit ribosomal RNA", at positions 524 to 776 of the family's 1533-position model. The record is from RNAcentral.